Molecule: ribosomal RNA, 488 nt
Filed under: uncultured bacterium
Lineage: Bacteria
Description: partial 16S ribosomal RNA
Rfam family: Bacterial small subunit ribosomal RNA
Source: RNAcentral
GACGAACGCUGGCGGCGUGCUUAACACAUGCAAGUCGAACGGAAAGGCCCUGCUUUUGUGGGGUGCUCGAGUGGCGAACGGGUGAGUAACACGUGAGUAACCUGCCCUUGACUUUGGGAUAACUUCAGGAAACUGGGGCUAAUACCGGAUAGGAGCUCCUGCUGCAUGGUGGGGGUUGGAACGUUUCGGCUGUUGGGGAUGGACUCGCGGCUUAUCAGCUUGCUGGUGGGGUAGUGGCUUACCAAGGCUUUGACGGGUAGCCGGCCUGAGAGGGUGACCGGGCACAAUGGAACUGAGACACGGUACAGACGCCUACGGGAGGCAGCAGAGGGGAAGAUUGGACAAUGGGCGCAAGACUGAUCCAGCCAUACCGCGUGGGUGAAGAAGGCCUUCGGGUUGUAAAGCCCUUUUGUUGGGAAAGAAAAGCAGCAGGUUAAUACCCCGCUGUUCUGACGGUACACAAAGAAUAAGCACAGGCUAACUUCGUG